UAUUAUAUCAGAGUUGCCAAAGACAGCAGGUGCUGCAAAGCUUAAAUCCUGCCGAGGUGCGCUGAAUAUGAUUUUCUGCGUGUCUUUCUGUCUGCUGGCAGGAAGAUUUUUUAUUUU
Molecule: small RNA, 117 nt
Filed under: human gut metagenome
Description: Ribosomal protein L10 leader
Rfam family: Ribosomal protein L10 leader
About the family: This family is a putative r-protein leader autoregulatory structure found in B. subtilis and other low-GC Gram-positive bacteria. It is located in the 5' untranslated regions of mRNAs encoding ribosomal proteins L10 and L12 (rplJ-rplL).
Source: RNAcentral